RNAcentral lists this ribosomal RNA (484 nucleotides) under uncultured bacterium. RNAcentral's name for it is "partial 16S ribosomal RNA". It matches the Rfam family "Bacterial small subunit ribosomal RNA", at positions 30 to 507 of the family's 1533-position model. The record is from RNAcentral.
AUUGAACGCUGGCGGCAGGCCUAACACAUGCAAGUCGAGCGGAUGAAGGGAGCUUGCUCCUGGAUUCAGCGGCGGACGGGUGAGUAAUGCCUAGGAAUCUGCCUGGUAGUGGGGGAUAACGUCCGGAAACGGGCGCUAAUACCGCAUACGUCCUGAGGGAGAAAGUGGGGGAUCUUCGGACCUCACGCUAUCAGAUGAGCCUAGGUCGGAUUAGCUAGUUGGAGGGGUAAAGGCCUACCAAGGCGACGAUCCGUAACUGGUCUGAGAGGAUGAUCAGUCACACUGGAACUGAGACACGGUCCAGACUCCUACGGGAGGCAGCAGUGGGGAAUAUUGGACAAUGGGCGAAAGCCUGAUCCAGCCAUGCCGCGUGUGUGAAGAAGGUCUUCGGAUUGUAAAGCACUUUAAGUUGGGAGGAAGGGCAGUAAGUCAAUACCUUGCUGUUUUGACGUUACCAACAGAAUAAGCACCGGCUAACUUCGUG